GCCUCGCUCGCUCAAUCGGUAUAGAGCGUGAGACUCUCAGUCUUAAGGUUGCGGGUUCGACCCCCGCGUGGGACU
Choiromyces venosus 120613-1 is the source of this 75-nucleotide non-coding RNA. The record is from the annotation of a GenBank genome assembly. NCBI's taxonomy places the organism in Eukaryota, Fungi, Ascomycota, Pezizomycetes, Pezizales, Tuberaceae.